AAAAAUAUUCAGAAGAUUACGAAGGCUAUGAAGAUGGUUGCUGCUUCAAAGCUCAGAGCUAUUCAAACUAGAGCUGAAAAUUCACGCGGCCUAUGGCAGCCAUUUACUGCCCUUCUUGGUGACACUCCUAGUAUUGAUGUCAAGAAGAAUGUUAUUGUUACCAUUUCCGCAGACAAAGGUCUUUGUGGUGGAAUCAAUUCUACAUCUGUCAAGAUAAGCAGGGCUAUGCAUAAGUUGAAUUCUGGUCCUGAUAAGGAAAAUAAGUAUGUUGUCUUGGGGGAAAAGGCAAAGGCUCAGCUGGUGCGAGAUUCGAAAAAGGACAUUGAGCUGGUCAUGACUGAGUUGCAGAAAAAUCCUCUUAACUACACACAGGUUUCUGUGAUGGCAGAUGACAUCUUGAAGAAUGUUGAAUUUGAUGCACUGAGGAUUGUGUAUAAUAAAUUCCAGUCAGUUGUCUCAUUUUUGCCAACAGUGUCCACUGUACUAUCUCCUGAGGUUGUGGAGAGGGAAGCUGAAUCUGGUGGAAAGCUUGGAGAUUUGGAUUUAUAUGAAAUUGAAGGUGCUGAGACAAAGGGUGAAGUUCUUCAGAACCUAACUGAAUUUCAAUUCUCAUGCAUGAUGUACAAUGCAGUUCUAGAGAACGCUACUAGUGAGCAAGGAGCAAGAAUGUCUGCCAUGGAUAGUUCCAGCAGAAAUGCUGGUGACAUGCUUGAUCGUCUCACUCUUACUUACAACAGAACCCGUCAAGCAUCUAUCACCACAGAGUUGAUUGAGAUCAUAUCAGGAGCAUCAGCACUGGAGGGUUAAUUGGACAUGCUACUCUGCUUUUAUUUGACGGAGACAAUAAAUGAUGUGUAGGUUUUCUUAGCACCUUGUGGUGACCAAUUAUCAGUUUUGAUUAUGAAUAAUUACCAGGUUAACUUUAUUUCUGGGAAAAAAAUUUGUUUCUCUGUUGCAAAAUCGUCAGAAAUGCCAUUUGAGCUGUUCUCUUUCGUUCUUUGUUGUACCGGGCUUGAAUGGCCGUAACUUGUUCAAGAAUAUUUUCUUGAAAAGCUCUUUGCCUUUAUAUUCAUGUUUUUUGGCUUGUAAGUUGAAAUGUAGGCCCUUCCGUCA
Molecule: unclassified non-coding RNA, 1113 nt
Filed under: Hevea brasiliensis (rubber tree)
Lineage: Eukaryota; Viridiplantae; Streptophyta; Magnoliopsida; Malpighiales; Euphorbiaceae
Source: RNAcentral